This 494-nucleotide ribosomal RNA is filed under the name uncultured bacterium. Its description in RNAcentral is "partial 16S ribosomal RNA". It matches the Rfam family "Bacterial small subunit ribosomal RNA", at positions 28 to 507 of the family's 1533-position model. The record is from RNAcentral.
GACGAACGCUGGCGGCGUGCUUAACACAUGCAAGUCGAACGGUGAAGCGCCUUCCUUUUUGGUGGGUGUGGAUGAGUGGCGAACGGGUGAGUAACACGUGAGUAACCUGCCCCCUUCUUCUGGAUAACCGCAUGAAAGUGUGGCUAAUACGGGAUAUUCUGGGUCUGUCGCAUGAUGGGUCUGGGAAAGAUAUUGUUUCGGUGGGGGAUGGGCUCGCGGCCUAUCAGCUUGUUGGUGGGGUGAUGGCCUACCAAGGCGGUGACGGGUAGCCGGCCUGAGAGGGUGGACGGUCACACUGGGACUGAGACACGGCCCAGACUACUACGGGAGGCAGCAGUGGGGAAUAUUGCACAGUGGGCGCAAGCCUGAUGCAGCGACGCCGCGUGAGGGAUGGAGGCCUUCGGGUUGUGAACCUCUUUCGCCAGUGAAGCAGGCCUGCCUCGUUUGUGGGUGGGUUGACGGUAGCUGGAGAAGAAGCGCCGGCUAACUACGUG